Molecule: ribosomal RNA, 429 nt
Filed under: Chloroflexota bacterium
Lineage: Bacteria; Bacillati; Chloroflexota
Description: Chloroflexi bacterium partial 16S ribosomal RNA
Rfam family: Bacterial small subunit ribosomal RNA
Source: RNAcentral
UGGGGAAUAUUGCACAAUGGGCGCAAGCCUGAUGCAGCCAUGCCGCGUGUGUGAAGAAGGCCUUCGGGUUGUAAAGCACUUUCAGCGGGGAGGAAGGCGUUAAGGUUAAUAACCUUGGCGAUUGACGUUACCCGCAGAAGAAGCACCGGCUAACUCCGUGCCAGCAGCCGCGGUAAUACGGAGGGUGCAAGCGUUAAUCGGAAUUACUGGGCGUAAAGCGCACGCAGGCGGUCUGUCAAGUCGGAUGUGAAAUCCCCGGGCUUAACCCGGGAAUUGCAUCUGAUACUGGUCAGCUAGAGUCUUGUAGAGGGGGGUAGAAUUCCAUGUGUAGCGGUGAAAUGCGUAGAGAUGUGGAGGAAUACCGGUGGCGAAGGCGGCCCCCUGGACGAAGACUGACGCUCAGGUGCGAAAGCGUGGGGAGCAAACAGG